RNAcentral lists this unclassified non-coding RNA (215 nucleotides) under uncultured Ascomycota. RNAcentral describes it as "sequence contains ITS1". Lineage: Eukaryota; Fungi; Ascomycota. The record is from RNAcentral.
AAACAAUAGAAUUCAUUUUCUGUAAACCCAAUCUGCGUACUUGUACCUGUUGCUUCCGCGAGCCGGUAAGAGCAUUGCGUUUCCUUUCGAGGAGAUGUGCUCUUGCCCACUGGCGUCUUUCCACGGAUUGACGUUGCCGGUGAGUGCUUGCGGGAGGUCUUCAUAAACUCUGUUUUUUUCGAACUCAGUCUGAAUAUUGUUUAUAAUUAAACUUU